Neofelis nebulosa (Clouded leopard) is the source of this 388-nucleotide long non-coding RNA. RefSeq lists it as uncharacterized. NCBI's taxonomy places the organism in Eukaryota, Metazoa, Chordata, Mammalia, Carnivora, Felidae. The transcript is spliced from 4 exons. The record is from RefSeq and is a predicted model, not a curated record.
GCUUCCGGAAGGGGCAGUGCCAGAGGAUUCUGGAAAGGCUCUGGUGUUCCCAGAGAUUUGGUGACAACAUCAGGAUACCAAGUGAACUUCUGACGGCAUUUGGGGACAAGGAGAAACACAGGCAUGGCACUCCGAGAACUCUUUUUAGUUCGUAGUCUAUCUCGUCAUUUCUGAGGGCUGUUGAGCCCUCAAACUUUCUCCCUCUGGACCUUUGGAACACAUGAGCCUGGACUUCAUUCAUUUCCCCCAGCUGGGCUGAGAAAAGAGAUGCAUUGAAACUUGUAACAUCUGAAGAUAAGGAAGACUUGGGAAAGUUAGUGGAUGUGUACUGAAGCAUCUAAAUAAAUUUAGUGCUGAAGCAUCUAAAUAAAGAUUGGUUAUUACUGGA